CCCUUAGAUGUUCUGGGCCGCACGCGCGCUACACUGAUGCAUUCAACAAGCCUAGCCUUGACCGAGAGGUCCGGGUAAUCUUUGAAACUGCAUCGUGAUGGGGCUAGAUUAUUGCAAUUAUUAAUCUUCAACGAGGAAUGCCUAGUAAGCGUGAUUCAUCAAAUCGCGUUGAUUACGUCCCUGCCCUUUGUACACACCGCCCGUCGCUCCUACCGAUUGAAUGUGUUGGUGAGGAGCCCGGAUUGGCAGCAGUUGGUGGUUCGCCACCGGCUAUUGCUGAGAAGUCCUCCAAACCGCCCCAUUUAGAGGAAGGAGAAGUCGUAACA
RNAcentral lists this ribosomal RNA (326 nucleotides) under uncultured eukaryote. Its description in RNAcentral is "partial 18S ribosomal RNA". It matches the Rfam family "Eukaryotic small subunit ribosomal RNA", at positions 1470 to 1796 of the family's 1831-position model. The record is from RNAcentral.